This is a long non-coding RNA of Monopterus albus (swamp eel), 206 nucleotides long. RefSeq lists it as uncharacterized. NCBI's taxonomy places the organism in Eukaryota, Metazoa, Chordata, Actinopteri, Synbranchiformes, Synbranchidae. The record is from RefSeq and is a predicted model, not a curated record. The transcript has 3 exons.
AUGGAAUGCUGGAAACGAGAUGCCAUAUUUUGCCGCUCUAGCAAGGGACUGAGAAAUUGAUGACAUUGCUGAAACUGGGCUAGGGCUACAGGGGCUAAACAGAUGAACUGAUAUGGCUUCAACUCCCUUUUUCUGAAUCGCUCUCCAUUAUUAGCAUAAAUAUUAAAUGAUCACUAAUGAUCUAGCAGAUUAUACCCAAAGCACAC